Molecule: long non-coding RNA, 840 nt
Organism: Piliocolobus tephrosceles (Ugandan red Colobus)
Lineage: Eukaryota; Metazoa; Chordata; Mammalia; Primates; Cercopithecidae
Exons: 3
Source: RefSeq, a predicted model, not a curated record
AGCUAAGGAUCUUUCAUUUCUUUCUGCCUCUCUCCUUUGCCUUCCUUCAACACCAAGGACAAUGGUCCAGCAGCAGCUCAGUGCAUGCUUGUCAACCACCCCACUCCAUACACUCCAGCCCUGGUCCACAGCCCCCAAGGCUCCUUGUGGGAUUCCUCAGCAACAGCAAUGCACUGACCAUCACUCUAUGUUCUCCUAGGUCCUGUUGAAGAUCUGCAGGUGUCUGCACAUGACGGCGUGGAGGAUAUGAAAUCAGAACGUAGAAGGCGGAUCGUCCAGACUCAACUCUGUUUGCCUAUGGGUUCCAAGCGCUGGAUAACAAAGCUAUGGAACUCCGAGAAAAUUUGGCCUGCAGACAAUAAAGGUAGUGUGGAAAUUAAAUCAUUAAGUUCACUUAAGCCAAUAAUUGCAGUUUAUUCAUUCAGUGCCCCAUAUUAGAGAAACUCAGUAAAUGCUGUGCCAUGUUCUUCAUUUAUUUCAUUUGUGCCAAUUUAUGCAUUAAAUCACUGGUGGGUGACACAAGUACACAAGUAAAGUAACAUUGACAACUUAGAGUUCCGUUCCUUUUUUUAGUAUUUAAUUUUUUUGUGAAAAGGUCUCCUUUGUCGCCCAGGAGUGCACUGGUGCGAUCACAGCUCACUGCGAUCUUGACCUCCCCAGGUUGAGGUGAUCCUUCCACCUCAGCCUCCCAAGUAGCUGGCCAUAAGUCACAUGGCACUAUAUCAAGUUUAUUAUUAUUAUUAUUAUUUUUGUAGAGAAGGGAUUUCACCAUUCUGCCCAGGCUGGGUUCACUUUUGAUAGUAAAGGACCUCUCCAAUGUUUAGACAUUUGCUUUCAGUU